GUGGGGAAUAUUGGACAAUGGGCGAAAGCCUGAUCCAGCCAUGCCGCGUGUGUGAAGAAGGUCUUCGGAUUGUAAAGCACUUUAAGUUGGGAGGAAGGGCAGUAAGUUAAUACCUUGCUGUUUUGACGUUACCGACAGAAUAAGCACCGGCUAACUUCGUGCCAGCAGCCGCGGUAAUACGAAGGGUGCAAGCGUUAAUCGGAAUUACUGGGCGUAAAGCGCGCGUAGGUGGUUUUGUAAGUUAGAGGUGAAAUCCCCGGGCUCAACCUGGGAACUGCCUCCAAAACUGCAUGACUAGAGUACGGUAGAGGGUAGUGGAAUUUCCUGUGUAGCGGUGAAAUGCGUAGAUAUAGGAAGGAACACCAGUGGCGAAGGCGACUACCUGGACUGAUACUGACACUGAGGUGCGAAAGCGUGGGGAGCAAACAGGAUUAGAAACCCGGGUAGUCC
Molecule: ribosomal RNA, 450 nt
Filed under: uncultured bacterium
Lineage: Bacteria
Description: partial 16S ribosomal RNA
Rfam family: Bacterial small subunit ribosomal RNA
Source: RNAcentral